RNAcentral lists this ribosomal RNA (252 nucleotides) under uncultured Acidobacteriota bacterium. RNAcentral describes it as "uncultured Acidobacteria bacterium partial 16S ribosomal RNA". It matches the Rfam family "Bacterial small subunit ribosomal RNA", at positions 524 to 776 of the family's 1533-position model. Lineage: Bacteria; Pseudomonadati; Acidobacteriota. The record is from RNAcentral.
UACGGGGGGGCAAGCGUUGUUCGGAAUUACUGGGCGUAAAGGGCUCGUAGGCGGCCAACUAAGUCAGACGUGAAAUCCCCAGGCUCAACCUGGGAACUGCGUCUGAUACUGAUUGGCUUGAAUCCGGGAGAGGGAUGCAGAAUUCCAGGUGUAGCGGUGAAAUGCGUAGAUAUCUGGAGGAAUACCGGUGGCGAAGGCGGCAUCCUGGACCGGCAUUGACGCUGAGGAGCGAAAGCUAGGGGAGCAAACGGG